Molecule: ribosomal RNA, 451 nt
Filed under: uncultured Anoxybacillus sp.
Lineage: Bacteria; Bacillati; Bacillota; Bacilli; Caryophanales; Anoxybacillaceae
Description: bacterial SSU rRNA
Rfam family: Bacterial small subunit ribosomal RNA
Source: RNAcentral
CGGUGGGCAUGUGGUUUAAUUCGAAGCAACGCGAAGAACCUUACCAGGUCUUGACAUCCCUGACAACCCGAGAGAUCGGGCGUUCCCCCUUCGGGGGACAGGGUGACAGGUGGUGCAUGGUUGUCGUCAGCUCGUGUCGUGAGAUGUUGGGUUAAGUCCCGCAACGAGCGCAACCCUCGACCUUAGUUGCCAGCAUUCAGUUGGGCACUCUAAGGUGACUGCCGGCUAAAGUCGGAGGAAGGUGGGGAUGACGUCAAAUCAUCAUGCCCCUUAUGACCUGGGCUACACACGUGCUACAAUGGGCGGUACAAAGGGUCGCGAACCCGCGAGGGGGAGCCAAUCCCAAAAAGCCGCUCUCAGUUCGGAUUGCAGGCUGCAACUCGCCUGCAUGAAGCCGGAAUCGCUAGUAAUCGCGGACCAGCAUGCCGCGGUGAAUACGUUCCCGGGCCUU